This 374-nucleotide ribosomal RNA is filed under the name uncultured bacterium. RNAcentral describes it as "bacterial SSU rRNA". It matches the Rfam family "Bacterial small subunit ribosomal RNA", at positions 525 to 896 of the family's 1533-position model. The record is from RNAcentral.
ACGUAGGGGGCGAGCGUUGUCCGGAAUCAUUGGGCGUAAAGAGCUCGUAGGCGGUUCAGUAAGUCAGGUGUGAAAGCUCCGAGCUCAACUCGGAGAGGCCACCUGAUACUGCUGUGACUAGAAUCCAGUAGGGGAGUGUGGAACUCCUGGUGUAGCGGUGAAAUGCGCAGAUAUCAGGAAGAACACCAGCGGCGAAGGCGGCACUCUGGGCUGGAAUUGACGCUGAGGAGCGAAAGUGUGGGUAGCAAACAGGAUUAGAUACCCUGGUAGUCCACACCGUAAACGUUGGGCACUAGGUGUGGGGAGGAUCAACCCUUUCCGUGCCGUAGCUAACGCAUUAAGUGCCCCGCCUGGGGAGUACGGCCGCAAGGCUA